AACGAACGCUGGCGGCAUGCCUAACACAUGCAAGUCGAACGAGACCUUCGGGUCUAGUGGCGCACGGGUGCGUAACGCGUGGGAACCUGCCCUUAGGUUCGGAAUAACUCCCCGAAAGGGGUGCUAAUACCGGAUAAUGUCUUCGAACCAAAGAUUUAUCGCCUUUGGAUGGGCCCGCGCUGGAUUAGCUAGUUGGUAGGGUAAAAGCCUACCAAGGCGACGAUCCAUAGCUGGUCUGAGAGGAUGAUCAGCCACACUGGGACUGAGACACGGCCCAGACUCCUACGGGAGGCAGCAGUGGGGAAUAUUGGACAAUGGGCGAAAGCCUGAUCCAGCAAUGCCGCGUGAGUGAUGAAGGCCUUAGGGUUGUAAAGCUCUUUUACCCGGGAUGAUAAUGACAGUACCGGGAGAAUAAGCUCCGGCUAACUCCGUG
Molecule: ribosomal RNA, 433 nt
Filed under: uncultured bacterium
Lineage: Bacteria
Description: partial 16S ribosomal RNA
Rfam family: Bacterial small subunit ribosomal RNA
Source: RNAcentral